This 265-nucleotide signal recognition particle RNA is filed under the name Bacillota bacterium. RNAcentral's name for it is "Firmicutes bacterium (gut metagenome) signal recognition particle sRNA large type". It matches the Rfam family "Bacterial large signal recognition particle RNA". Rfam says of the family: The signal recognition particle (SRP) is a universally conserved ribonucleoprotein involved in the co-translational targeting of proteins to membranes. Archaeal SRP consists of a 7S RNA and homologues of the eukaryotic SRP19 and SRP54 proteins. Lineage: Bacteria; Bacillati; Bacillota. The record is from RNAcentral.
CUGUGCUAGGUGGGGAGCUAGCGGUGCCCUGUACCUGCAAUCCGCUAUAGCAGGACUGAACGCUGUUCUAGGCUUUAUUUAUGGAAGGUCUGCCUUCGAUAAGCGAUGUUGAUACCAAGGUCUUGUGCAAUCGUGCACUGCGAACCAUGUCAGAGCUUGACCGCAGCAGCAUUAAACAGACCGCUCGGUGUGCCACGAGGUAGCUUUGGAGGAGUUGGCUGUCGUUGUUCCGCUUCGGUAAAUACUGUCAAAAACAGAUGCACAG